GGAGUCUGGACCGUGUCUCAGUUCCAGUGUGGGGGACCUUCCUCUCAGAACCCCUAGACAUCGUCGGCUUGGUAGGCCGUUACCCUACCAACUACCUAAUGUCGCGCGAGCCCGUCCGUGACCACCGUAGCUUUCAACAGAAGAGGAUGCCCUCCUCUGUAUUACGGGAUAUUAGACGCCGUUUCCAGCGCUUAUCCCCCUGUCACGGGCAAGUUGCUCACGUGUUCCGCACCCUUUCGCCGGUCGCCGCCAGAGUAUUGCUACCCCGCGCUGCCCCUCGACUUGCAUGUGUUAAGCCUGCCGCUAGCGUUCAUC
RNAcentral lists this ribosomal RNA (315 nucleotides) under uncultured Bacteroidales bacterium. RNAcentral's name for it is "partial 16S ribosomal RNA". Lineage: Bacteria; Pseudomonadati; Bacteroidota; Bacteroidia; Bacteroidales. The record is from RNAcentral.